This is a non-coding RNA of Gossypium raimondii (Peruvian cotton), 87 nucleotides long. The record is from Rfam. Lineage: Eukaryota; Viridiplantae; Streptophyta; Magnoliopsida; Malvales; Malvaceae.
CACGUCAGCGCGACCUGCUGACGUGGAAGGAAAUCUCUUCCUUGAGGACGCGAUUUCCUUCCACGUCAGCAGGUUGCGCUGACGUGG